UGUAUCUAAAGUCUGAAGAGGAUGAGAACCUCCGGGGGCAAGAGGUUCGACUCGAGCGAAGCGAGAGAACGUUGCGCCAGCAACGGCCCGCAGGGCGAGCCACGCAGUGGCGAGUCAUCCUCUAUCACCGACCA
RNAcentral lists this small RNA (134 nucleotides) under Salmonella enterica subsp. salamae. RNAcentral describes it as "RtT sRNA". It matches the Rfam family "RtT RNA". From Rfam's summary of the family: This family represents a bacterial cis-regulatory element known as RtT RNA. The exact function of RtT is unknown although it is thought that it may be involved in changing the cellular response in relation to amino acid starvation. The record is from RNAcentral. Lineage: Bacteria; Pseudomonadati; Pseudomonadota; Gammaproteobacteria; Enterobacterales; Enterobacteriaceae.